This 77-nucleotide transfer RNA is filed under the name Olea europaea subsp. europaea. Its description in RNAcentral is "tRNA.Ile". The stretch from base 7 to 67 matches the Rfam family "tRNA", at positions 7 to 64 of the family's 71-position model. From Rfam's summary of the family: Transfer RNA (tRNA) molecules are approximately 80 nucleotides in length. Their secondary structure includes four short double-helical elements and three loops (D, anti-codon, and T loops). Lineage: Eukaryota; Viridiplantae; Streptophyta; Magnoliopsida; Lamiales; Oleaceae. The record is from RNAcentral.
GCAUCCAUAGCUGAAUAAGUAAAGUGCCCAACUGAUAAUUGGUAAGUUCGUAGGUUCAAUUCCUAUUUGGUUAUGCA